This 283-nucleotide unclassified non-coding RNA is filed under the name Glomus sp. Its description in RNAcentral is "partial contains 5.8S ribosomal RNA and internal transcribed spacer 2". The stretch from base 1 to 65 matches the Rfam family "5.8S ribosomal RNA", at positions 84 to 154 of the family's 154-position model. Lineage: Eukaryota; Fungi; Glomeromycota; Glomeromycetes; Glomerales; Glomeraceae. The record is from RNAcentral.
GUGAAUCAUCGAAUUUUUGAACGCAAAUUGCACUCUCUUCGGAGAGUAUGCCUGUUUGAGGGUCAGCCUAAAAAAAUCGACGGAGUCGCUGGUUCGCGGUUGCAUUCGGCGGAAAUUUGGGCAUCUUAAACCUUUGGGGUUUUUAAGCGGCUUAAAAUUUUCUUUACGAUUCCACGAACGUUUCUAAGAUUUUACUUCUUACACACGGUUAAGGUAUCGAUCUUUAUUAGACGUGGCCGUUGCAUCGGAUCGCGUCCAUAAAUAUUUCGUUAACUUAACUUAU